This 301-nucleotide ribosomal RNA is filed under the name uncultured bacterium. RNAcentral's name for it is "partial 16S ribosomal RNA". It matches the Rfam family "Bacterial small subunit ribosomal RNA", at positions 509 to 809 of the family's 1533-position model. The record is from RNAcentral.
CAGUAGCCGCGGGAAUACAGAGGGUGCGAGCGUUAAUCGGAUUUACUGGGCGUAAAGCGUGCGUAGGCGGCUUUUUAAGUCGGAUGUGAAAUCCCUGAGCUUAACUUAGGAAUUGCAUUCGAUACUGGGAAGCUAGAGUAUGGGAGAGGAUGGUAGAAUUCCAGGUGUAGCGGUGAAAUGCGUAGAGAUCUGGAGGAAUACCGAUGGCGAAGGCAGCCAUCUGGCCUAAUACUGACGCUGAGGUACGAAAGCAUGGGGAGCAAACAGGAUUAGAUACCCCAGUAGUCCCUGUCUUUUAUAC